Meriones unguiculatus (Mongolian gerbil) is the source of this 478-nucleotide long non-coding RNA. RefSeq lists it as uncharacterized. The transcript has 3 exons. Lineage: Eukaryota; Metazoa; Chordata; Mammalia; Rodentia; Muridae. The record is from RefSeq and is a predicted model, not a curated record.
UGAGAUCCGUGCUGUGGGGGUCAGCAAAGGCCUCGGGCUGUAGAUGGGACAUCAGUAGCCACCAGGUGUUUGAAGGGAGGAAAAAAGUUUCCUCAGGGUCUGUAGAAUGGGCAAGAACCUGGGCGGAACAGCCACCUUCCAUCCCUGCCAGUAGAUUGGGGAAGGGUCCCUAGAGCUUUUGAUAUAGUAAUCCCAAUUCCAACAGGAAACCUACCUAGCUGAUUGAAAAUAGAACCCUUGGUCCUUCUCCCUGAGUUCUUUUUGUUGUUGUUCAAGACAGGGUUUUACUGUGUAGCCCUGGCUAUCCUGGAACUCACAGAGAUCCACCUGCCUCUGUCUCCUGAGAGCUGGGAUUACAGGAGCGAUUUUUAAUCCCCAGCAAGGCAAAAUUCUCUUUACUUCAUCAAACAUUUCAAGCAUUGGCUGUCCUGGAUUCACUUUGUAGACCAGGCUGACCUCAAGAACUCACAGAGAUCUG